UACGUAGGGACCAAGCGUUGUUCGGAAUUACUGGGCGUAAAGGGCGCGUAGGCGGCGACUCAAGUUAGAUGUGAAAGUCCUGGGCUUAACCUGGGGACUGCAUUUGAUACUGGGUUGCUUGAAUUCGGGAGAGGAUAGCGGAAUUCCCAGUGUAGAGGUGAAAUUCGUAGAUAUUGGGAAGAACACCGAUGGCGAAGGCAGCCAUCUGGACCGACACUGACGCUGAGGCGCGAAAGCGUGGGGAGCAAACAGG
RNAcentral lists this ribosomal RNA (253 nucleotides) under uncultured bacterium. Its description in RNAcentral is "partial 16S ribosomal RNA". It matches the Rfam family "Bacterial small subunit ribosomal RNA", at positions 524 to 776 of the family's 1533-position model. The record is from RNAcentral.